RNAcentral lists this ribosomal RNA (372 nucleotides) under uncultured organism. RNAcentral's name for it is "bacterial SSU rRNA". It matches the Rfam family "Bacterial small subunit ribosomal RNA", at positions 526 to 896 of the family's 1533-position model. The record is from RNAcentral.
CGUAGGGACCAAGCGUUGUUCGGAUUUACUGGGCGUAAAGGGCGCGUAGGCGGCAAUUCAAGUCAGCUGUGAAAUCUCCGGGCUUAACUCGGAACGGUCAGCUGAUACUGCUUUGCUAGAGUGCAGAAGGGGCGAUCGGAAUUCUUGGUGUAGCGGUGAAAUGCGUAGAUAUCAAGAGGAGCACCUGAGGUGAAGACGGGUUGCUGGGCUGACACUGACGCUGAGGCGCGAAAGCUAGGGUAGCAAACGGGAUUAGAUACCCCGGUAGUCCUAGCCCUAAACGAUGAGUACUUGGUGUCUGGAGUUUUUAUCCUCCGGGUGCCGUCGCUAACGUUUUAAGUAUUCCGCCUGGGGAGUACGCACGCAAGUGUG